This 53-nucleotide ribosomal RNA is filed under the name uncultured organism. Its description in RNAcentral is "partial 16S ribosomal RNA". The record is from RNAcentral.
UGACACGCAGUUGGCCGCUCUAGAAAUAGGUCUCUCUUUUGGGACAAUUGCAC